AGGGUGAGAUUAUGCAAAUCUUCCUCACCCUGAGGAAAUGUAUGCUGGGGGGCUGAUAACCACUGGGUACUGCCAGCGCCAGACUGGUUUGCUGUACGAACAGAAUAGAUAGUUGCACCACACAAGCCCUUGCACUUUUACAAGUGCUAAGACUGCGUGUAAAUGUAUGUACGCCAUGCAUGUGUGAUCAUGAACUUCAGAGAGGUGUAUGACUGUCGUUUUCAGUGCUGCUAGUCAGUGCAGUCUCUAUUUUUAUGGAGUUUCUAUGUUGCGGUACCUCACAGCAAGCAACUGUGACACCAGACCAACCGGCCUCGAAGCCACGACAUCCACACUGGAUUAUGUGCCACUCUUAACCCUGCCUUUUCUUUGUUCACUUCUACAUGUGCAUGUGUGGAUGGAUGACUGUAUCCCUGUCAGAGAAACUGCUACAACCAAACCAACACCAUCUUCAACUCAACCCAAAACCAUAUCCAGCCCAGUCCAGCCAGGCUGGACCCCCACUGUCCUCACUACCUCCAUGAAGUAAAGAUGGUAGAUGGUGGCUGGGGUGUCAGAGGCCUCGCAGAUGGAUGGGGAAUUCACACUGGCAAAAUGUGAGUGAAUGGUGCUACAUGCAGCCCAUGCAGCCGCACUUGAUGGUCUUUUCCACUUCCUCGCUGAAGGAGGUUCCAUCGCUGCAUUCAAAGGUGUAUUUCCGGCGUUUCACCCGCUGGCUGGCGCAGCAGGCCCCUGUGUCGCAAGCUCCGGUGCACUCCACCCAAGAGACCAUGCGUGUUGUCUGGCAGAUGGCGUAGCCUCGCUGUACCUGGUAGAAGUCUCGCACAGGCUCCCCCCGACACUCAGACUCUGGAGAAGAGGGACACAGACAUUAUUGUAAUUAUUUUAUCAUAUCAUUUUGUUUGAAUUCCCCUACCCCCCUUAGAAAUACAGACUAUUAAAUGACUUUAGGCCGGUUGCCCUGACCUCCUUAGUUAUGAAGUGUUUUGAAAAACUGGUUAAAAAAAAGUUGUCCUCACAAAAACUGAGAAUCUCAUUGACCCACUACAGUUUGCUUACAGGGCUAAGCGUGGGGUAGAUGAUGCCACUGUUACUCUGUUAAAUUUGUGAUUCAAACACCUCGAAGGUAGUAAAACACAUGCAAGAUUUUAUUUGUUGAUUUUUCAUCUGCUUUUAAUACAAUCCAACCACACAUUUUAGUUGACAAGCUCUUAAAGAACUUUGACCUUGAUUUUAACAUGGGUUGGAUUCUUGACUUUUUAACUCAUAGAGUAAGGGUGAAUGGUUGCUUGUUGGAGAAGAUGUCAUCAUCCACGGGGUCUCCUCAGAGGUGUGUCCUCUCACCACUCCUCUAUAUUCUAUAUUGCCGCAGCCAGCAUGAUAACAGACACAUUUUAAAAUUUGCAGAUGAUUCUGCUAUUGACAGUCUCCUCUUCUCCGAGGAAAGUGAUCAUGGUCCUGUUGUUGAUGAUUUUGUGCUCUGGUGUGAUAGGGCAUUCCUUCAAUUAAAUGUAAAAAAGACAAAGGAUAUGCUGAUUGAUUUUAGGCGUAAGUGAUCAACUCCUCAGAACACUACCAAUGGGCAGAUGGUGGGAUCCGUAGAAACAUAUAAGUUGAAUUUUCCAACAAUUCCAACAGUGAGAUGUUUUGCAAAAAAGGCCAACAAAGACUGUUUUGCCUUCGCAAGCUGUCAAAGUUUCAUGUCGAUAAGACCCUCAUGACCCUUUUUUAUGAAUCAUACAUUGAGUCUGUAUUAACAUUUUCUGUAAUUUGCUGGUAUGGUAAUCUCACUGUCAAGGCCAAAACUGCUCUUUCCAAUAUGGUGAAAGUCAGCAGUAAAAUUCUAGGUCUCCAGCAGUGUAGUCUCACUGACCUGUAUAACAGACAGGUAGUUAGGAAGGCCAAAUCAAUUAUUUCUGAUAGCACCCACCCCCUUCAUUUGGAGUUUCAGAUCCUACCUUCUGGUUCUCGGUUCAGAUUACCCCCGGUAAAGAGCAAUAGAUACAGGCACUCAUUCAUUCCGCCAUCUCCUUUCUAAACUCAGUCUGGAGAAGUAGAUAAAUUUCACAAUUAAAUAGUGAUGGGGUUGUUAUAACAUGAAUAGUACUGACGUUGAUGAUGUUGUUGAUGUGAUGGUGAUUGUUGUGGAAAUGUUUUUGAUGAUGAACAUUGUUGGAUGUUUCUUUUCAACAUAUGGCUGUCAAAUGGGAGGCCUUUUUAUUUAUUUAUUUUCAGAAAUGGAGCACCUUAUUCUAUAGCACUUUAGCAUUUAGGCCUAUCUAUCUUCUCAAUUAUCUGUUGUACAACCAGAGUCUGUAACAUUUUAGUAUUUUAUGUAUUUUGGUCUUGUUUGAUAUCUGUGUCUGUCCUGUGUCUGUGUCUUGCUGCAGAACCAAUUGCCCUACGGGGACAAAUAAAUGUUAAGUUAAGUUAA
Molecule: long non-coding RNA, 2434 nt
Organism: Micropterus dolomieu (smallmouth bass)
Lineage: Eukaryota; Metazoa; Chordata; Actinopteri; Centrarchiformes; Centrarchidae
Exons: 3
Source: RefSeq, a predicted model, not a curated record